Jaculus jaculus (lesser Egyptian jerboa) is the source of this 102-nucleotide small nuclear RNA. NCBI's taxonomy places the organism in Eukaryota, Metazoa, Chordata, Mammalia, Rodentia, Dipodidae. The record is from Ensembl.
CUGCUCGCUUUGGUAGCACAUAUACUAGAAUUGGAACAAUGUAGAUUAGCAUGGCCCUUGUGCAAGGAUGACACACAAAUUCAUGAAGUGUUCCAUAUUAAA